AACUGAUUGAACGAUCAUAUUCAGCAAUCGAGAGAAGCGAUUUAAUUUUAUUAUACAAAGAACGUAAUUUAAUUCCGUUAUUUAAGUAUACGUAUGAUCGUUGAGAAAUUUGGUAUAAUAUUAAACAUAGACACGCAUAUGGAUCUUUUAAAAUAUGAAAUGUCAAGGAGGCAAUGAUACUUGAAAAUUUCUGAAAACUUUCCAGAUUUUCCUUGUAUUUCGCAAGUAUCUUAUUAAAUUUUAUUACAUGCAUGCACAUAUGAACGAUAAUAUGAACUAUCGUAAAUUGAAUUCUCAGGUGUAGCUAUAUUUGUAGACUCUAACAUGUUUGAUAACUUAUCGGAGUCUAAAUAAAUUAGCCGACGUAAACUGAGAACCUUUAUCGUAGAAUAACGCAGGAGUUUCGAAGUCAUUUCCGCGCUAAGUGUUGAAGCUAUUCUUGAACGUGAAAUAAUAUAGGAGUUCCGAAGUUACUUUCCUCAUGAAAUAUUGCAAAAGUUUCGAAGUUACUUUUCGACAUAACGUAAUCGUUUUGCAGUUACUCUUACGUUAGGUAUCAAAGUUACUCUGGAACGUAUAUACGAAUGUGCUAAUCAAAAUUUCAAGUAAUAUCGUGGCUGACUGUUUCGACUUCUGUAAUUUAUUUUCUUCCUUUCUUAUUUUUAAAAUUACGCAAGUUAUAAUGAAAGCAACUGUACGUUUCCUGCAUAGAACGUUAAUAUCACUUUUUAAAAGAACUAGAAAAGAGAAUAAGCUUAUUUUUGACGUAAUUAAAAGUAAAUGUUAGCAAAUUAAUUAUAUAAAACAACGAAAUUGCAAACAAGCGUUAAUUAUAACGCUUUUAAAAUUUCGUUAAACGUUCUUAUCGCAUAACACGCAUCUAUAGCACAUAUUAUUAAGUCACUUUUCCAUAAUUAUAAUUACGGAAAUAAUAUUUCGAAUUAUUAAUUCUUCUUAAUCUAAAUACCGAGAAACAAUUCUUACGAAGUUACUAAGAAGAACAAAGUAAAAGUGAAGCGGUCGAUGUUUAAUAAAUAAAACAGAUUCACGUGAAUCCACAAUAAAACGCUAUGGACAUUUUGCUUCGUAGACUCUAACCACGACUCAAAGUCGACCAAUUGACACAGGAAGCACAAUUAUAAAACAUGGUACUGUGAAAUCGACGUAAUUAUAGAAUUAUAUCGGCGAUAAAGAAGACGGUAGUUCGGUCUGUACUAAUGAAAGCAAUUAGCAGAAAUUACCGCCCUAAUUAGCUGGUCGUGAUUACUGCCGCAUCGCGGAAACUGCGGAUCCUUUCGUUCCUUUCCUUCCGCCGUCCCUUUUUUUCUUUUUCUUUUCUUCUUUUUUUGUUUUCUUUUUCAUCUUUCCUUCUCUCCUCUCGUCUGUCUCCUUUUCUUUCUUUUUCUCUUUCCCUUCUGUUCCUACGUUCCCUUCUACGUAACGGAGAAUUGAUUCCAUAGCCUUCAAGACGAGCAUCUACAAUUUGUUGCCAGUUCCAUGCGCUUCUGCUCACGUUCACGGAGCAAUUUCAUGAAUAUAUCUGCAUACCGUUAGGAACGAGUUUCGAAAAGAAAAAGAGAAGUCAGAAAACGAAGCGGAGGCAGUAGAGAAUAAGUGGACGUAGGGGGAUGAAGAUAAAACGAGGACCAAGAUGACGAAGAACGGAAGAAAAGAAACAACGUGAUAGGAUCGAAGAGAGGCCGACCGCGAUGCGAGGAGAUUGAUGACAUUAUCGCGUGGAAUUCGCAAUAAGGCGGUCUUUAAAGCCACCCGACAUUCCCAAAACCACACGUGCCUUCACAUGCAUAAUCGAACGAGAAGAAGAAAAUCCGUGGCUCUAAGUGCAGUUUCACGAUUCCUACUUUUAAUACAAUGGAUGAAGGUCUGGAAUAUCGGAUACCUAAAAACAUUGCUUCGUAUUAUACAUUUUCAAUAAAUGAAGCGACGAGUGUCGAGCAAGGAAUGUUGUUUGUUAAUGUUGAAAUAAAGGUUUGGCAUAUCAAUGCAACGAUGUUCCUUGCAAGCGGAUUAAAUAUCGGCUUGACGCAAGAUGCUACGAUAGAAGGCAGCAAGGUUCUGCGAUCACACAAGUACAACGAUCGUGCAAUUGAAAUGAUAAGCGAUAUAAAUGCUGAGAAUGUAAAAGAAAGUGCGAGAGAGCGUAAAUUAUACGUGGAGCAAGGUGAAGAAAGUUUGCCACUGACGAUUAAUGUAACGUGUGGUAGUUUAGAAACGAUAAAAACCUGCUGCCACGUUAGCAGCUAUUAACUUGUUAACAUUAUCAGUAGACGCGAACGAAGUAAACAGUACGGAAGACAAGCGUGAAACGAAAGUAUUUAAACGAAUUGCAGCAGGUCAGAGAAAUGAAAUUCCUGCCGUCUCUCUAAAUAUUUCUCUUAGCAUUAGCGGCGACAGAAUCAAAAACGCGAUUCUAAUUGCGUUUGCUUACUUUGAAAGAGGAAUUCUCGGAGGAUGAACGGAGGCACCAAUUUCUGCGAUUAUAUUCGCGGCAGAUGUUUGCAGCGGAACGUCGAAGAAAGUAGCAGUCGCGAGAUUAAAAUGGCCCCAACGUUGCCUGGGCGCAAUCUGUUUAAUUGUAAAGCGUUCCCUACCGAAUGAAGCGGCAAAAAAAAGCCUGUUUCACGGAAGUUCUCCACGCUCUUGGCCAACGUUUUAUGCUUGUGAAAAUGAAGGGAAAUUGAGGUUACGAAAUUAAAGAAUCUUUGAUAGUUUGGUCACUGACGAUAGCCAGGAAGGAUAUUGGUUAAUGCUGUGAAACUUGUAAGAGGAGUAUCGCAAGCAUCUGGAUCUUGUCAAACGAUUAAUCAUUCUCGUUGAAUGUUCACUCGUGGUAAAACACGAUAGUUGCUCAAUAACUUUGCUCCAGUUGUUUUGGAAUACUACUGGACUUCAUUUAUCAAUCGUUUAAUAAUUAUACAAUCGAAAAAAUUGGUCUCUUUUAAAUAAAUAUUCAUCCUCCGUUGAAUUUGAUUCGAGUAUGUCUAAGUACUUUGAAAUAAUUCUCAACUUGUUUUUAAUAUUUCUAUACGCUUAUUAGAUCGUUAAUGGCAAAUAUUUCUUUUCGAGGUCCUCUUUCGUCCAUCUCAAGAUCACAAAACAUUCAAACAGACAUUAUUUCCAUUUGUGUAUCAUUUUCUACAUAAGGCUCGAUCUAUUACUUUUUUCGUACAUGGUACGUUAUAUACUAUUACAGAGUAUUUAAUAUAUAGUAUAUCAUAUGCUUAAAGCAAGUAUACGGUCUGCUUCUUUCAAAGUGAAUUGCAGUUUCUGAGCCAUUCUUCUUUUUCUUCGUGAGUACAAGUCUAGUACUCCGAACUGCUCCGAAACAGCGAGAAUACCAAGUUUUUACAAAUCCGAAAUUAACAAACUUAUAUUUAAAUACGAAAGAGGAAACAUAUACAAACCAGUCGGCGCCGAUCAUAAACUUGAUAAUGUUGAUACAAUUGACUUAAUAUUUGGAUUAAGUAAUACAUUCGAUUUUAAACAACUUCAUAAUCGUUACUUCGCAUAUACACUAAACGUGUCGAUAAAAACAAUUUCAUUCUACUCCUUUGAAAUCACUCCUUUGAAAAGAAAUCUCUGCUUCGUCGUUACUUCCUGGUAAUCUCCGUUAUAAGAAAUAUUCCACAAAUUACCUCCCAAGAAAACAGAAGGAUCUAAUUUAGAAGACCACGGGGAACUAAAUCGAUAACAACGAGAACAUCGAGCAAAAAGCCAACGAUUAUCCGUAUGCCGCUAGUUGCAUAACCCUUGCAGUUGCAAAACACGGACGAGCGAGUUUUACUUUCAAAGGUCGAGUUCUGUGGCGCCAAGGUCGGCCAUCGUAAUAUGCGGUUUAUUUGUAUUGACGAUCGCUUUCACUAGCGAAAGUUCUUUUCCACGCGCUUAUCCGAUCUCGAGACAAAGAGACACAGAAGGACGCGCUAGAAAUGACGGGAAAAGGGAGCAAGAAGAAAAAGAGGAAUAGAAGGGAAGAAUAAUUGCACGGGUCGAUCGUGUAAUUCAUUAGGCGAAAGACGAGCCGGUGAAUGGACAGCAAUUUUCGGUAAUCGCCGAUUGCACGACUCGAUGAGUCGUUAUUCAGAUCCACGUUACGUAUACCGUUGCUGCUAGCCAGAGUGGAAGAAAAGGUCUUCAGGAUUAAAAGUUGCAGAGCUGUCGAGUGGCGGAGCCAGAGACAGGAGCCAGGAAAGCAGAGCCGUUGUUAAAGAGGGGAGAAAAUUUACGCCUGAAAAGAGAUGCUAGGCGGAGAAAGAAGGGAACGAGAGGGCUCCAGAUGUACGGGGUGUUUCUGCAGAGAAAGAAUGUUGCGUUGAUAUAGCGAAGUAGGGCCGGAGAAAAUGUUUCUGGUAAAUAUUGUCUUAUUUCGAAGGUUGAGAGGUAAAGAAUGAAGUAGGAAAUUAAAGUAUAUAUUGACAGUGUGCUUGAUGAUAUAAUUAAAAAUAUAGCAAAAGGCAACGGCUAUUUUUACAGUUCUGUGAAUUAUAAAGAAAGUAGAAGAAUUUCUUUUUUAAAUGCACAAGCAAAUAGAAAUGACAUCGUCAUGGAAAAUAAUUUAGUCGGAUCUAAAGUCUAAGGUUCACUCCAAAGAAUUUAAGUAAAAGUAAUAGUAUCGUUGAAGCAGUUCGCUCGUUAUGAAAUUAUCUGCAGGAUAAUUUCCUUACUUGAUACAAAUGUAUCUGUUCGUAUUAUCGAUUAAAAAGCCAAAACU
This is a long non-coding RNA of Bombus pascuorum, 4732 nucleotides long. RefSeq lists it as uncharacterized. The transcript is spliced from 2 exons. NCBI's taxonomy places the organism in Eukaryota, Metazoa, Arthropoda, Insecta, Hymenoptera, Apidae. The record is from RefSeq and is a predicted model, not a curated record.